RNAcentral lists this signal recognition particle RNA (98 nucleotides) under bovine gut metagenome. Its description in RNAcentral is "Bacteroidales small SRP". It matches the Rfam family "Bacteroidales small SRP", at positions 8 to 103 of the family's 107-position model. Rfam says of the family: The non-coding component of the signal recognition particle in Bacteroides The record is from RNAcentral. RNAcentral also lists the same sequence under 1 other name.
UAGGUAGGUACUAUACGACCAGCUCCCUCUGAACUCCCCCAGGUCUUGACCGAAGCAAGGGUAGGAGGUUGUAGCGGUGCGAUAUAGUUAGCCUACCU